AGAGCGAACGCUGGCGGCAGGCCUAACACAUGCAAGUCGAGCGCCCAGCAAUGGGAGCGGCAGACGGGAUAGUAACACGUGGGAACGUACCCUUCAGUUCGGAACAACCCAGGGAAACUUGGGCUAGUACCGAAUACGUCCGUAAGGAGAAAGAUUUAUCGCUGAAGGAUCGGCCCGCGUCUGAUUAGCUAGUUGGUGAGGUAAUGGCUCACCAAGGCGACGAUCAGUAGCUGGUCUGAGAGGAUGAUCAGCAUCACUGGGACUGAGACACGGCCCAGACUCCUACGGGAGGCAGCAGUGGGGAAUAUUGGACAAUGGGCGCAAGCCUGAUCCAGCCAUGCCGCGUGGAUGAUGAAGGCCCUAGGGUUGUAAAGUCCUUUCGGCGGGGAAGAUAAUGACGGUACCCGCAGAAGAAGCCCCGGCUAACUUCGUGCCAGCAGCCGC
RNAcentral lists this ribosomal RNA (444 nucleotides) under uncultured bacterium. RNAcentral describes it as "SSU rRNA". It matches the Rfam family "Bacterial small subunit ribosomal RNA", at positions 26 to 518 of the family's 1533-position model. The record is from RNAcentral.